Molecule: ribosomal RNA, 451 nt
Filed under: uncultured bacterium
Lineage: Bacteria
Description: partial 16S ribosomal RNA
Rfam family: Bacterial small subunit ribosomal RNA
Source: RNAcentral
AGCGAACGCUGGCGGCGGGCUUAACACAUGCAAGUCGAGCGGGCGUAGCAAUACGUCAGCGGCAGACGGGUGAGUAACGCGUGGGAACGUACCUUUUGGUUCGGAACAACACAGGGAAACUUGUGCUAAUACCGGAUAAGCCCUUACCGGGAAAGAUUUAUCGCCGAAAGAUCGGCCCGCGUCUGAUUAGCUUGUUGGUGAGGUAACGGCUCACGAAGGCGACGAUCAGUAGCUGGUCUGAGAGGAUGAGCAGACACAUUGGGACUGAGACACGGCCCAAACUCCUACGGGAGGCAGCAGUGGGGAAUAUUGGACAAUGGGCGCAAGCCUGAUCCAGCCAUGCCGCGUGAGUGAUGAAGGCCCUAGGGUUGUAAAGCUCUUUUAACGGGGAAGAUAAUGACGGUACCCGUAGAAUAAGCCCCGGCUAACUUCGUGCCAGCCGCCGCUGUAA